Molecule: long non-coding RNA, 191 nt
Organism: Rhipicephalus microplus (southern cattle tick)
Lineage: Eukaryota; Metazoa; Arthropoda; Arachnida; Ixodida; Ixodidae
Source: RefSeq, a predicted model, not a curated record
ACGAACCUACAAAAUGGAAGAAGGUGAUCAAGAGUAAGAACAAGAUGGAGAGGACGUGCCCACCGGGAUACGGCAGAAAAGGAUCAUCUUGCGAGCUCUGUCCAGCGAGCACGUACGGACAUGGCGUGUGCCUGCCCUGUCCACCGAACUCGUACAACCUCAAGGCCGGCUCUGCGUACUGCGACCCGUGU